GGACUACCCGGGUAUCUAAUCCUGUUUGAUCCCCACGCUUUCGUGCCUCAGUGUCAAUACAGGCCUAGUGAACUGCCUUCGCAAUCGGUGUUCUAUUACAUAUCUAAGCAUUUCACCGCUACAUGUAAUAUUCCAUCCACCUCGACCUGAUUCAAGCCUCACAGUAUCAAUGGCAGUUCCGGAGUUAAGCUCCGGGAUUUCACCACUGACUUACAAAGCCACCUACGCACCCUUUAAACCCAGUGAAUCCGGAUAACGCUUGCACCCUCCGUAUUACCGCGGCUGCUGGCAC
This 292-nucleotide ribosomal RNA is filed under the name uncultured Bacteroidota bacterium. RNAcentral's name for it is "uncultured Bacteroidetes bacterium partial 16S ribosomal RNA". The record is from RNAcentral. Lineage: Bacteria; Pseudomonadati; Bacteroidota.